RNAcentral lists this ribosomal RNA (3116 nucleotides) under Candidatus Anoxymicrobium japonicum. RNAcentral's name for it is "bacterial LSU rRNA". It matches the Rfam family "Bacterial large subunit ribosomal RNA", at positions 1 to 2258 of the family's 2925-position model. Lineage: Bacteria; Bacillati; Actinomycetota; Candidatus Geothermincolia; Candidatus Geothermincolales; Candidatus Anoxymicrobiaceae. The record is from RNAcentral.
GACCAAGAUGCUAAGAGCACACGGUGGAUGCCUUGGCGGUAGGAGCCGAAGAAGGACGCGGAAGGCUGCGAAAAGCUCCGGGUAGUCGCCUAACAGACGUAAAUCCGGAGAUGUCCGAAUGGGGAAACCCGGCACAGGUAAUGCUGUGUCAUCCUUGCCUGAACACAUAGGGCAAGGAAGGCAAGUGGGUGAACUGAAACAUCUAAGUAACCCGAGGAAAAGAAAGUAAAAACGAUUCCCUCAGUAGCGGCGAGCGAACGGGGAUGAGCCCAAACCCGAUGGGUGUGAUAGCCCGCAGGUGUUGCUCAUCGGGGGUUGUAGGAGUCAUCAGGCGUUUCUGCGGAGGCGCCAGGGAGUUACAAAACAGGUCUUUAGCCGAAGCGGGAUGGAAAGCCCGGCCACAGAAGGUAACGGCCCUGUAGGCGAAAAGGAUCUGUCUCCCGAUGAAAUUCCUGAGUACGGCGGGGCACGUGAAAUCUUGCCGGAAUCUGCGUGGACCACCACGUAAGGCUAAAUACUACCUACCGACCGAUAGUGAACUAGUACCGUGAGGGAAAGGUGAAAAGUACCCCGGGAGGGGAGUGAAAUAGUACCUGAAACCGUGUGCUUACAAACAGUCAGAGGGAGCUUGUCUCCUGAUGGCGUGCUUUUUGUAGAACGAACCGGCGAGUUACUGAUACGCAGCAAGGUUAAGGAUUACCGGAGCCGCAGCGAAAGCGAGUCUUAAUAGGGCGAUUUAGUUGCGUGUCGUAGACCCGAAACCGAGUGAGCUACCCAUGGGCAGGGUGAAGCGAGGGUAAGACCUCGUGGAGGCCCGAACCCACUCAGGUUGAAAACUGAGGGGAUGACCUGUGGGUCGGAGUGAAAGGCUAAUCAAACUCGGGAAUAGCUGGUUCUCCCCGAAAUAGCUUUAGGGCUAGCCUCAGGUGUUUAGUUAUGGUGGUAGAGCACUGAAUGAGCUAGGGGGCUUCACCGCUUACCAAUCUCAAUCAAACUUCGAAUGCCAUAACUUUAGAGCCUGGGAGUCAGACUGCGGGGGAUAAGCUUCGUAGUCGAAAGGGAAACAGCCCAGACCGUCGGCUAAGGUCCCUAAAUGCAGGCUAAGUGGGAAAGGAUGUGGGAUUGCACAAACAACCAGGAUGUUUGCUUAGAAGCAGCAAUCAUUUAAAGAGUGCGUAAUAGCUCACUGGUCAAGUGGUUCCGCGCCGAAGAUGUAACGGGGCUAAAGCCUGCUACCGAAGCCACGGAUUUUCCGCUGUAACAGGCGGGGAAUGGUAGGGGAGCAUUCUCUGUGGGGUGAAGCCGGAAUGUGAGUUCCGGUGGACCGCAGAGAAGAGAGAAUGCCGGUAUGAGUAGCGAAAGACGGGCGAGAAACCCGUCCGCCGAACACCUAAGGUUUCCUGGGGAAGGUUAAUCCGCUCAGGGUUAGUCGGGACCUAAGGCGAGGCCGAAAGGCGUAGUCGAUGGACAACAGGUUUAUAUUCCUGUACCACCAACACAUGUUCGAGCAAUGGGGUGACGGAGAAGGGUAAGCCAACCGCGGCGAUGGUUGACCGCGGACAAGCACGUAGGGGGUCGCGCAGGCAAAUCCGCGCGGCGCAUACCCUGAGGUGUGAUGUCGAACCGAGUAAGGUGAAGUGGCCGACCCCAUGCUUCCUAGAAAAGCCUCUAGCGAGUGGCGUUGGUGCCCGUACCAAAACCGACACAGGUAGGUGAGUAGAGAAUACUAAGGCGAUCGAGCGAACUCUCGUUAAGGAACUCGGCAAAUUGAUCCCGUAACUUUGGGAGAAGGGAUGCCGCGGUAGGGUAGAAGGAUCUUUUAGACUCCUGAAAGCCCGAGGCGGUCGCAGAGAAUAGGCCCAAGCGACUGUUUACUAAAAACACAGCUCUCUGCUAAGUCGAAAGACGACGUAUAGGGGGUGACGCCUGCCCGGUGCUGGAAAGUUAAGGGGAGGGGUUAGUGGCCUUCGGGUCGCGAAGCUCUGAACUGAAGCUCCAGUAAACGGCGGCCGUAACUAUAACGGUCAACCAUUAUGGGCCGUUGUAAAACCUGGCCAUAUGCUGGAACAUCCGAGUAUCCCGCGCUACCUGUCACAGUGACAUGCUAUGCUUGAAUUGGUGAUGUCUAUGACAGGUGAAAAUGCGACGGGUGCGGACAAUCAGCAGGAAAGACCUCCAGGUUGCCUCUCGAAGCCGCGACGAUUGACACCAGAGUAUAUAGUAGGGUUCAUUGAUGGAGAAGGUUGCUUCAGUGUAAGCGUUCAUCCUCACCCGACGGCCAGAAAUGGCUGGGUGAUGGAUCCAUGUUUUCAAGUGUAUCAACACAGGGAUAACUCAGAAAUUCUCGAGUUGAUCAGAGAUUUCUUAGGAUGUGGACGUAUAACGCCGAAGGGCCCGAACAGCAAUGUUCUCACGUACUCAAUUGACUCGAGGCGCGACCUCGAGCAGGUGCUGAUCCCGCUGAUCGAUGAGAACCCGAUUGUAUCAGGCAAGAAACACGAUUUUGUGAAGUUCAAAGAGAUCGUAUUGUCGAUGCAGACGGGUGAACAUCUCAACGCAAGUGGCUUCAGGCGAUUGGCUCUCCUGGCUUUCUCGAUGAACAAUCGAGGAAAGCAGCGGAAGUAUACAAUCGAAGAGGUGACAGGAGGAAUCCUCAGAGACUACACGCCAGGCGCUCAGCAGUAACAGUCGAGAGAGAUGUCGAGUGUGUAUGCUGAGUGAUGAUAUAGUCCGACCUCCAUGGCGAUAUGGAGAGCCAGGCAGAAAUGACCUGGCCGCCGAUUGAAUGUCGGUAGUAACAAAGAUGCCUAAGGUAGCGAAAUUCCUUGUCGGGUAAGUUCCGACCUGCACGAAUGGCGUAACGACUUGGGCGCUGUCUCAACGAGAGGCUCGGCGAAAUUGUAAUGCCGGUAAAGAUGCCGGCUACCCGCAACUGGACGGAAAGACCCCGUGAACCUUUACUGCAACCUGAUAUUGGAUUUUGGUACAUUUUGUGCAGGAUAGGUGGGAGGCUAUGAAACUGUGGCGCCAGCCGUGGCGGAGCCGCCCUUGGGAUACCACUCUUGAUGUAUUGAGGUCCUAACCGAGAACCUUGAAGCAGGUUACGGGACAGUGUC